Molecule: long non-coding RNA, 593 nt
Organism: Globicephala melas (long-finned pilot whale)
Lineage: Eukaryota; Metazoa; Chordata; Mammalia; Artiodactyla; Delphinidae
Source: RefSeq, a predicted model, not a curated record
GAACAUGGCUGACGCAGUCCCCUGGGAUCAGCCUCCUUGAGCACAGAGCAGGGCAGAGAAAGGUGGAGAGUGCGUGCAGGAGGGCAGGGUCAGGCACUGAAGAACGAGCGCAGCAUUACUAGGCAGUCUCUUCUCUCCCCCCUCCUCCACUUCCACUCCACGUGCCGGGCAGCAAUCUCCAAUUCUGCAUCAUUCACCCAAAGUUCUCUUUUCCAAAGAGGCUUCCCUGCUACGAGGAAUAUGGAAGACUGGCCAGCAGGUCCACCCAUGUUGCUGCAGAUGGCAUUGUUUCAUUCUUCUUUAUGGCUGAGUACUAUUCUACUGUAUUAGGCGGGCCUCUCACUGCUGCGGCCUCUCCCGUCGCGGAGCACAGGAUCCAGACGCGCAGGCCCAGCGGCCAUGGCUCACGGGCCCAGCCGCUCCGCGGCAUGUGGGAUCUUCCCGGACCGGGGCACGAACCCGCGUCCCCUGCAUCGGCAGGCGGACUCUCAACCACUGUGCCACCAGGGAAGCCCCAGCAUUCUUCUUUUUCACUAAAAAAUAUCACAUUAUUAAAUUCAUCAGUGUUCCCUUUUUCUGCAAUUAAAAAUUUU